CCUACGGGAGGCAGCAGUGGGGAAUAUUGGGCAAUGGACGCAAGUCUGACGCAGCAACGCCGCGUGAAGGAAGACGGCUUUCGGGUUGUAAACUUCUUUUCUGGGUGAAGAGUAGUAGCCGGUACCCAUUGACUAACCACCGGUUAACUCCGUGCCAGCAGCGGCGGUAAUCCGUAGGUGGCAAGCGUUGUCCGGAUUUAUUGGGUGUAAAGGGCGUGCAGCCGGAAAGACAAGUCAGAUGUGAAAUCCACGGGCUUAACCGGUGAACUGCAGUUGAAACUGUUUCCCUUGAGUGAAGUAGAGGUAAGCGGAAUUCCGUGUGUAGCGGUGAAAUGCGUAGAUAUUAGGAGGAACACCAGUGGCGAAGGCGGAUUACUGGGCGUUAACUGACGGUGAGGCUCGAAAGUGUGGGGAGCAAACAGGAUUAGAUACCCGGGUAGUC
Molecule: ribosomal RNA, 442 nt
Filed under: uncultured bacterium
Lineage: Bacteria
Description: partial 16S ribosomal RNA
Rfam family: Bacterial small subunit ribosomal RNA
Source: RNAcentral